AUGCCGACGCCUCCGACUCCGGCGACGAGGCCUGCACCGACGCUGCCGGACGAGCUUAUCGAGGAGGUCUUCCUCCGCCUCCCGCCGGACGAGCCCUCGAGCCUCAUGCGUGCCUCCCUGGCCAGCAAUUUUUGGCUCGGCCUCCUCACCGGCACUAGCUUCUCCGUUCGCUACCGAGAGUUCCAUGAUACUCCCCCCAUGCUUGGCUUCUUUUAUUCUUGGCUCCACGCCGACCGCCCCCACGACGAAGGAGAACGCCCCGUCCAGCGCUUUGCCUUCACCACAAAAUUCGGCGCGCGCAUUCCCGAGGUCCAGGAAUGGGACGACUAUGAAGCGUUGGACUGCCGCCAUGGCCGCGUUCUCUUUGAAAACCCCUUUGGUUGCCCCGCCCCGCUGUUCGUUUGGGACCCCAUGACAGGCUGCACGAGAUACCUGGAGAAGCCCGAUGGAUGCUGGGGCGAUGGGGCCACGGUGGUCUGUGCUGUGAGCGGCUGUGACCACCGCUUGUGUGACGGAGGGCCCGUCCGUGUGGUCUUUUUCACGACCGGUGACGGUGAUGGUUGUGUUGCACACGUGUCCGUCGCGUUGCUGGAGAUGGAUGAUGCAUGGAGCGAGAGCUCUGAUCUUGAUCUUGAGCUUGAGUGGACCCUGAGCCCUGGUCUUGAACUUGAAGCUAGGCAUGCAUUCAUUCCUGAAAUAAUGCCCCCUGUCCUCAUCAAAGACGCACUCCACUUCAUGCUUUCCAUUGUUGAUGGUGUUCGUGACAUGGCUAUUCUCAAGUACGACAUGGCCUCUGAUGGCUUGUCAUUGAUUGAUCUACCGGACGUGCGCUCUAAUGGCUUACCACUCAAAGACCAUUCCUUUAUCCCCAUGGCCAUGGGGGAUGGCAAUUUGGGGUUUGCACAAGUGGACGGGUUAACCCUCAACCUAUGGUCAGGCUCAAUCCAGACGGGUGCCGAGGGCCUUGCGUCAUGGACUCAGCAUAGAGUUGUCGAUCUUCAGAACCUUCUCCCUAUUCAGAAUCCCAAGGAAAGUCUUAGGCUGAUUGGAUCCGUGGAAGGCAGUGAUAUCAUUUUCGUGACUACAGACCUUGGCAUCUACCAGAUUAGUCUCAAGUCCCUCAUAUGGAAGAAGCUAUGGAAGAGCGAGAAGUUCAGUGCUUUGAUUCCGUACAUGAGUUUCUACAAUCCACAAGAGAGGAUCAACCCCUACGAUGAAGCUCAUUGA
RNAcentral lists this ribosomal RNA (1227 nucleotides) under Triticum aestivum (bread wheat). RNAcentral's name for it is "partial small subunit ribosomal RNA". The record is from RNAcentral. Lineage: Eukaryota; Viridiplantae; Streptophyta; Magnoliopsida; Poales; Poaceae.